This is a long non-coding RNA of Dermacentor albipictus, 757 nucleotides long. RefSeq lists it as uncharacterized. The record is from RefSeq and is a predicted model, not a curated record. Lineage: Eukaryota; Metazoa; Arthropoda; Arachnida; Ixodida; Ixodidae.
CAGAAAGAAGUGAUGCCGACGACUGGCAGCCUGAAUCUGAAGGCAGAGCCCAGUCACCUGACGACACGACCCUGUCGACUGAACGCAGCAGCGGCCACUCACCUCAAUGCAGUUCAGCAUCAAGCAAUGAUUGGACUGGUUCCGCGCCACCAGAAAAAUGUCCCAGAUUGGGAAAGUUAACGGAGCUUGCUGAGCUCAUGCAAGAACAGCACAGCAGAAAUUCCAACAUGCCUAUGGAGCAUGCUCAACUUGUGUUCGAGCAGCAAAAGCAGUUGAUGAAAGAAAGCAAUAAUUCUUUCAAAGAAACGAUAACAGGAAUAACUGCUUCGUUCUUGCAAGGAACACAAAGUAUGCUAGCACAGCUGAUUAGUCAGCCUCCACAGGCUUUUGUGCAGCCAUCGCCAGCGUUUACAAUUCCGCCGGUGUUUCAGAAUUACACAUGGGCUUUUAGACAAGUACCAAACCAAUAUAAUCAGCCAGCGUAGCGAAGCAAAGCCACAGCAAGUCAUCGUGCAUCAGUGUUCGGACAGUCUGAAGAAGCUGUAAACCCGUUGAGUGUGCAAGGUUAUCCCGGAGUGGCUACAAACGUGGAAGUUUCCAGCGACAACCACACAGGAAAGGACCAGCCAGAGGACAUUUUCGUAUGAUAACAUAAUUUUUAUUUUAGAGCACGAACAAUGAGUUCAGGCUUGUGAACCCACUACCAAAGAAGGUGCUGUUUGUACGUAACCGCCAAAUAAACUUGUUCUUCCGUGUA